UAGGGAGGGUACGAGGGGUGCUGCGUUCGGGAGAGACCUUGCACGCGGUCCCACACCGCCUAAGUUGUACAUGAAUGACUCUAAUACCCAAGGAGGGUGUCAGGCCCGUGUGGCGGUCGUUUAUAAAAAACCCCUGCGGGGGGAAUAUAAAAGGUAUGGUGACUGUGGAACGGGUCUCUCUCUAGAGUCGGGUUGCUUGAAAGCGUAACCUUAAGUAGGUGGUAAACUCCAUCUAAGGCUAAAUAUGACCACGAGACCGAUAGCGAACAAGUACCGUGAGGGAAAGUUGAAACAGAACCCUGUAGAGAGAGUUCAAGAGUACGUGAAACCGUUAAGAGGCUAAACGGGUGGAGAUUCGAAGAUCGAACUGGUGGGAUUCAGUCUAUGAUAAGGUGACAACAGGGAGAGGGCAGAGUCAAUGUGACCACGUUGGUUAGUGCGAUUUGCAAGCAUUGCGUCUUCAGGUUGACGCUUUCUUGGUGUGGCACGGCCUGUUCUACCUACCCUGCACUGACAUGUGUAAUUCCCACCGUAGUAGACCACUGCGAGGCGUUGGGAGGGCGUCUGAGGCCCGGGUUUUGGCAUGAACCAGCGUAGGUUAUGUCUUCGCGUUCGGUAACGGACGWCGAAGCGCGGUCGGUUGGUUAGCUCGCUAACCGCCGCCGCUCUACGUCUGGCUAUCAUCCCCUGGAGUGCAUUGUAUUGGUCUCUGAUCUAUCUAUUGAUGWGGAURGAUCAUCCUAAGUUAUUCCCCUCGUCUUGCUCUCCCGACGUCCCAUCCUCCUUAUAGGGGCGAUAUGCUGGCACGGGGUCUGUGGUUGUAUUAUCACGCUCACGCCAGUAAUCUUAGCUCUCGCGGUGGAAUGUAGUAUAUAAAUACAUACAUACAUCAGGAACGGUGGGGGCGCAGGCCCGGGACUCGCCAUGACGAACAGUGCGCUUAAAAUUCCUCCGAGUGCUUGGGGCAGGCUAUCGUAAGAUUGUGCUUGCUUGCUCGUUCGGUAGCUUGGGGCAAGGGUUUAAUUCGACAUAUUAUUAUGUGCUUAUACCCUUUCCCGCCUGCCUGCCCGCUCGCAAAUUGCCUGCCUGCCCGCCUCUCGGUGGAUGCCGCUGGAUGUGUCGGCGAGUACCUCGAGUGUACAUGUUGGUACCCGAAAGAUAGUGAACUAUGCCUGGCCAGGAUGAAGCCAGGGGAAACCCUGGUGGAGGUCCGCCGAGGUUCUGACGUGCAAAUCGAUCUUCAGAGCUGGGUAUAGGGGCGAAAGACCAAUCGAACUAUCUAGUAGCUGGUUCCCUUCGAAGUUUCCCUCAGGAUAGCUGGCAUUUAUAUAACCGAGUUUCAUCCGGUAAAGCGAAUGAUUAGGGGUGUUGGGGACGAAAUGUCCUCAGCCUAUUCUCAAACUUUAAAUGGGUGAGGUGCCGGGCUUGCUCUGUACGCAUGCAUGCAUGCUUGAAGCCCCGGACACGAAUCAGAGUGCUUAGUGGGCCACUUUUGGUAAGCAGAACUGGCGCUGUGGGAUGAACCUAACGUCGAGUUAAGGGGCCUAAAUUGUGCUAAUUAAGAUACCAUGGAAAGGUGUUGCUUGCUAUAGACAGUAGGACGGUGGCCAUGGAAGUUGGAAUCCGCUAAGGAGUGUGUAACAACUCACCUGCCGAAGCAAGUAACCCUAAAAAUGGCAUGGCGCUUAAGCACCUUCCCGAUACUCGACCGCCGGAGGCAAUAUAGGCACUGUCAUAAAGGAGGUCUCGAUGCCCCGGUGAGUAGGAGGAGCGCGGUGGUGAGCGUUGAAGGAUUCGGCGUGAGCCGGUCUGGAGCCGCCACUGGUGCAGAUCUUGGUGGUAGUAGCAAAUAUUCGAGCGAGAUCACCCUCGUUGACCGAAGCGGAGAAGGGUUCCGCGCCAACAUCGCUUGGUCGUGGGUAAGUCGGCCCUAAGCCCGGGGAUAGCAUCCCGAUUUACUAGGCGUUCUGGCUUUCCUGUCCCAAGUUAACUAUAUAGACUAAACUAUGAAGGUCCGCCACGAAUCAGCCACAUGGUAUAAUCGAUAAACCGCUCAUGAUAUCAUCCUACUACUAGCACUUCGCAUUCAUCCC
RNAcentral lists this ribosomal RNA (2093 nucleotides) under Bentheogennema intermedia. RNAcentral's name for it is "eukaryotic LSU rRNA". It matches the Rfam family "Eukaryotic large subunit ribosomal RNA", at positions 126 to 1587 of the family's 3401-position model. The record is from RNAcentral. Lineage: Eukaryota; Metazoa; Arthropoda; Malacostraca; Decapoda; Benthesicymidae.